This 386-nucleotide ribosomal RNA is filed under the name uncultured prokaryote. Its description in RNAcentral is "partial 16S ribosomal RNA". The record is from RNAcentral.
CCCUAUGGGGUAAGGUGCUCUACAACUGCUCUCUAAACCCACUGGGGGCCAUCUUGGAGGUUCCCUAUGGCCGGCUUGGAGAGAAUGAGGAGACGAGGAAGAUCAUCCGGGGUAUCAUAGAAGAGAUCUUCCUGGUCUGCCGGGCCCUGAAGGUCUCCCUUCCUUACAAAGGAGCAGAUGAUUACUACCGCUUUCUAUUGGAGACCCAGCUCCCACCCACCCGGGAUCACCGCGCCAGCAUGCUGCAGGACAUCCUGGCCAAGAGAAAGACGGAGAUCGAGGCCCUGAACGGGGCAAUCUCCCGCUUAGCCCGUGAGAAUGAGAUCCCAACACCCUACAAUGACCUUCUCACCCUGCUCAUUAAGUUCAAGGAGAAGAGGGAGAGC